GAUCCUGGCUCAGGAUGAAUGCUGGCGGCGUGCCUAAUACAUGCAAGUCGAGCGGUAACAUGGAAUAGCUUGCUAUUCUGAUGACGAGCGGCGGACGGCUGAGUAACGCGUGGGAACGGACCCCAAACUGAGGGAUAACUAUUCGAAAGAGUAGCUAAUACCGCAUGUGAUCUUCGGAUUAAAGGAUUUAUCCGGUUUUGGGACUGGCCUGCGUACGAUUAGAUAGUUGGUGAGGUAACGG
RNAcentral lists this ribosomal RNA (241 nucleotides) under uncultured bacterium. RNAcentral describes it as "partial 16S ribosomal RNA". It matches the Rfam family "Bacterial small subunit ribosomal RNA", at positions 15 to 263 of the family's 1533-position model. The record is from RNAcentral.